Non-coding RNA from Mycena polygramma, 96 nucleotides. NCBI's taxonomy places the organism in Eukaryota, Fungi, Basidiomycota, Agaricomycetes, Agaricales, Mycenaceae. The record is from the annotation of a GenBank genome assembly.
GACCCCUUAGCUCAGUGGUAGAGCGUCGCAUUCCAGUUCUGGUGCUAUGAGAAACAUAUUUCGCGAAGGCCGUCCGUUCAAUCCGGGCAGGGGUCA